This 440-nucleotide ribosomal RNA is filed under the name uncultured bacterium. RNAcentral's name for it is "partial 16S ribosomal RNA". It matches the Rfam family "Bacterial small subunit ribosomal RNA", at positions 338 to 795 of the family's 1533-position model. The record is from RNAcentral.
CCUACGGGAGGCAGCAGUGGGGAAUAUUGCACAAUGGGGGAAACCCUGAUGCAGCGACGCCGCGUGAGUGAAGAAGUAUUUCGGUAUGUAAAGCUCUAUCAGCAGGGAAGAUAAUGACGGUACCUGACUAAGAAGCCCCGGCUAACUACGUGCCAGCAGCCGCGGUAAUACGUAGGGGGCAAGCGUUAUCCGGAUUUACUGGGUGUAAAGGGUGCGUAGGUGGCAGGGCAAGUCAGAUGUGAAAGCCCGGGGCUCAACCCCGGUACUGCAUUUGAAACUGUCCAGCUGGAGUGCAGGAGAGGUAAGCGGAAUUCCUAGUGUAGCGGUGAAAUGCGUAGAUAUCAAGAGGAAUACUCAUUGCGAAGGCGACCUACUGGAACAUUACUGACGCUCAUGCACGAAAGCGUGGGGAGCAAACAGGAUUAGAUACCCGGGUAGUC